CCUGGCUCAGAUUGAACGCUGGCGGCAUGCCUUACACAUGCAAGUCGAACGCGAAAGUGGGGGCAACCCUGCGAGUAGAGUGGCGAACGGGUGAGUAACACAUCGGAACGUACCCAGGAGUGGGGGACAACCUCGAGAAAUCGAGGCUAAUACCGCAUACGUCCUGAGGGAGAAAGCGGGGGAUUCGCAAGGACCUCGCGCUCAUGGAGCGGCCGAUGUCGGAUUAGCUAGUUGGCGGGGUAAGAGCCCACCAAGGCGACGAUCCGUAGCUGGUUUGAGAGAACGACCAGCCACACUGGGACUGAGACACGGCCCAGACUCCUACGGGAGGCAGCAGUGGGGAAUUUUGGACAAUGGGGGCAACCCUGAUCCAGCCAUGCCGCGUGAGUGAAGAAGGCCUUCGGGUUGUAAAGCUCUUUCGGCCGGAACGAAAUCGGCAACGUGAAUAACGUUG
This 454-nucleotide ribosomal RNA is filed under the name uncultured beta proteobacterium. RNAcentral's name for it is "bacterial SSU rRNA". It matches the Rfam family "Bacterial small subunit ribosomal RNA", at positions 18 to 471 of the family's 1533-position model. The record is from RNAcentral. Lineage: Bacteria; Pseudomonadati; Pseudomonadota; Betaproteobacteria.